GGACCGCUGGUCUAUCUAAACCCUGCCAUAUUUAAAACUUAGCGCAGCCCUGUUUAGUUAUCCUGGUGCAAGCUUUAGCUUGCUCAACAGGGCUGAAAAAUUAGCCUAAAGCAAGAUGGCCAAAAACUGCAGUUUUUUUGCAGUUUGUUGUUACCUGAAUUCUGUUUUCUUACUCCUCCCAAUUCAAGUGUGUAAUCCUAGCUACGGUGGCCGCUGUAGGACAAAUAACUCCGUUAGUCCAUCAGUCUGCUGUUUACCUCAGUUAAACACUGUGUGUCCACCUCUCUUUACUCUGGACCAGGCUGUAAAAAAAGACACCGAUAAAAGUCGAUGAGUCGACGAAGCUUCUUCACUUCUUUCUGAUGAUACUGAGAGUAUGAGCAUGAACCCAGUCAUAGUGGAGAGUGGAUAGUGAGCUGCUGCAGAGCGAGGCACCGGCAGCUAAAAAUCAGAUUCAUUGAUACGGGAAACAAAGGUAAGCUGUUUAGAGUGCGACAAUUAACCAACAUUCAACAGGUGAUCAGAUGGAGCUCGUGUCAUGUCCCGAUUGCUGUGUGGGAACAGGCAUCAUACAUGUAAUGGGAAAAAAAAAAAUAAAAAAUAAAAAAAAAAUUAUACACUCACCAGGUAUGAAGAGAAGUAAAUGAAAUGAAAAGAGGAGUGGAAAUGAUCAGAGGAUGUGUGAAAUUGGCUGGGGAUACAUGUGAAGAGCCUUCCUGGUCUUCUUUGCAGAUUUUUUGGGGGAUUUUCAUUUGUAGUGUACAGACUUCACUUCAAACAGAGUUCCACAAAUUGUUCUGCAUGAUUGCUUGAAAAUUGAAAACGGCAGGGGGAAAAAAAAAGUCUGGGACUGAAUUUACUCGAUAUCUCAAAACACAAUUACAAGGCUUUUAACCGUUUGUGUCACGCAGACAGAUCGACUUGGUGGCAUCACACACAAAUUAGCAGAUGUUCGGCUCAAGCCAAAAAAACCAAAAAAAACAACACAAAACAAAACCAGUGCCAGAGAGCAGGCAGUCAUUGUGUAAAGAGGAGCGCGAGCACACAGAAUAGACUGGUGAGGUCCCCGAGGAGCUGCUUCACUACCCUGCAGCUUUACACUUCUGCUGUGGGUGAACACAAAACGCAUUACAACAGAGCAGCGGGGCGCGUGGACAGGCAGCAAAGUGUUUCUGCAGGACAAACACACACAGGAGCUGUGAUCACAAACUUUUAAUGCUCACGCACAACAAUUUUUUUAUUCUUAUGUUCAAUAAUCAAAAUAGACAAAUAUACACACUGUGUGUUGUUGCAAAACCUGAUAUUUGAUUAAUUCUGUGCCCCCCGUCCGAAAGAGCUCUUCAGGAUGCUCUAAUGCAAAUUAUCAUUUUCUAUAGUCAGAGUCUGCACUGACAGAUUAUUACUGUUCCUGAGAUUUGGUGUGUUACAGCACACAGGAAACCAGGACAGACGAACCACUGCAAGUCCACCUUAAGAUUUCUUCCACAUCCUCACUCCUGUCAGAAGCCAGCUGAUGAUAAAAGAUUCAUUUAGAUCUCAUUAACAUGACGCCGGUGCAGCCAACAAUAAAAGUUGACAGAGCAAAUCCCUUCCAUUCAUUGUUGGACCUGAAGUUCAAGCUGAAA
Oreochromis niloticus (Nile tilapia) is the source of this 1625-nucleotide long non-coding RNA. RefSeq lists it as uncharacterized. Lineage: Eukaryota; Metazoa; Chordata; Actinopteri; Cichliformes; Cichlidae. The transcript has 2 exons. The record is from RefSeq and is a predicted model, not a curated record.